GACGAACGCUGGCGGCGUGCUUAACACAUGCGAGUCGAACGGAAAGGCCCUGCUUUUGUGGGGUGCUCGAGUGGCGAACGGGUGAGUAACACGUGAGUAACCUGCCCUUGACUUUGGGAUAACUUCAGGAAACUGGGGCUAAUACCGGAUAGGAGCUCCUGCUGCAUGGUGGGGGUUGGAAAGUUUCGGCGGUUGGGGAUGGACUCGCGGCUUAUCAGCUUGUUGGUGGGGUAGUGGCUUACCAAGGCUUUGACGGGUAGCCGGCCUGAGAGGGUGACCGGCCACAUUGGGACUGAGAUACGGCCCAGACUCCUACGGGAGGCAGCAGUGGGGAAUAUUGCACACUGGGCGGAAGCCUGAUGCAGCAACGCCGCGUGCGGGAUGACGGCCUUCGGGUUGUAAACCGCUUUCGCCUGUGACGAAGCGUGAGUGACGGUAAUGGGUAAAGAAGCACCGGCUAACUACGUG
This 468-nucleotide ribosomal RNA is filed under the name uncultured bacterium. RNAcentral describes it as "partial 16S ribosomal RNA". It matches the Rfam family "Bacterial small subunit ribosomal RNA", at positions 28 to 507 of the family's 1533-position model. The record is from RNAcentral.